Molecule: ribosomal RNA, 254 nt
Filed under: uncultured bacterium
Lineage: Bacteria
Description: partial 16S ribosomal RNA
Rfam family: Bacterial small subunit ribosomal RNA
Source: RNAcentral
GGCGGACGGGUGAGUAAUGUCUGGGAAACUGCCUGAUGGAGGGGAUAACUACUGGAAACGGUAGCUAAUACCGCAUAACGUCGCAAGACCAAAGAGGGGGACCUUCGGGCCUCUUGCCAUCGGAUGUGCCCAGAUGGGAUUAGCUAGUAGGUGGGGUAACGGCUCACCUAGGCGACGAUCCCUAGCUGGUCUGAGAGGAUGACCAGCCACACUGGAACUGAGACACGGUCCAGACUCCUACGGGAGGCAGCAUG